AAAGUCGCGCUUGUAGAAUUCAUUAUUCAACGGUAAAAAUAAAGAUCCUGUUCUAACAAGCAACCGUUUUACCACAUAAACCAUUUCGUUUUCAACUUAGAACGAAAUGAAUAACUUAGCCAAUACUCACGAAUUCAAAAAGUUAAAACGCAACAUCGCUUCAUCAUUUCUGAAACCGGACUACUCUAAGGCGGAAAAUAAAAAGUCUCUGGCAAACAAAGAAAAUGCGAAGUCCUUCUUGGAUUGCUCCAGGAGAACUGUUCUACAUGACAGAACCACGAAGGGUCAACUACACAAACCACCCAGGGACAGAUCUAAAUGGCAUAACAAUUUGCCAUCUCUCAAUAAACAUGACAUUUCGAUGUCUACACUCGUUGCCUUGGACCAGUGUCAAUCACGUAAAGUCCGAUCCCAGCUAUAUGAUCAAAGGAAUUUACAAUCGUGCUCUGUGAUUCUAGAAAAACUCGAUAUUUCUAAAAUGCUGCCGAAGAUUCAAGAUGCCCGAAAUAUCGAGAGAAGUAACCCUUCACAACUCAACUGUAGCUUUGUUGUAAACAACUUGAACCCAUCUGUAUUGGAUUCAUUUAGUGUUUAUCCGUUGCAGCCAAAGAUCCACUAUAGGCAACAUCCAAUACCUCCGCUCAAUUUAGAAAGGAGCCAAUCAGGGUUUUUGAGACCAGUCAAUCCAACGUUAGAAGAUGUUAAAUUAGCUCUGAUGAAUGAAAAGAAAGAGGAGCUCAUCUCAACUAUAAAUUAUUUCAAAUCGUCUCCAAAUAUCGAUUAUGUCAGGAAAUUGUACUUCUUUGAAAAACUUGAAGCGACUUUAGAUAGAAUCUUGCAAACACAUGUAAUGCAAACUCAAUCAUGUCAACAAAAUGAAUGGCAAAUGGAUCCGAACAAAUUUCAGCGAAUACAAACUUGGAUGGACAAAACACAAAGAGAAACAGAGCAGUCGUACAUAGAACAAUCGAUGCCACCUUCUCCUCCAACUCAGGCUAUUCAUACCAUUCCACAAGAGACGUGUAAUCAAUCUUUCCAGGACAUGGCAACAGAAAAAUCACUGUCGCCUAUACGGCAGCAGGCAGUCGUACAGAAACAGGGCAGCUACUGUCUAGGAGACUGGACCGUUAUUAAAGGAGAUGUGCCAUAUGAUUUAAAAGUCACUGGCACUCUUAUUCAUGCAAUAUUCAGAAACACAAUUGAAGAGAAUCACGUUUCACAUAAUGUAAUAGAGGUUCCUAAUAAAAAUGUAAUCAAAACAAAUGUCUGCACUUACAUGCUCAUUGGUAAAUUCGUUGAUCCGACAAAUUCAAUCCCUCAAAAAAUAAAGAAGUACUUUAUGCAUGGGGGUUUUCCCGAGAAUUGGAAAUCUGUAGCAAGAAAUUGGCAUUCUCUGAGUAGAAACAAUAAACAAAACGAAAUGCUUAAACAAAAUCAACUGCCCGCACAAUGCCCAAAUCUCAGUAACACAAGAUCCAAGAUGAGUCAAGGUCUUGACUUGAUGUUGAGGUCUUUUGACAGCCAAGACGGUUUGGAGAAGAACAGGAGAGCAAUAUAUCCCCGGAAUAUUUUCACUUGGGAAAAGCUAUUUUCAUAAAAAACAAAGUGAAAAUUGCAACAUCCUCAAUACUCCUAGAAACUCAGGAAUUAGGAAUAGCCUUAAUAGUUCAAUAGUAACAAGAUCGAUAU
RNAcentral lists this unclassified non-coding RNA (1689 nucleotides) under Cimex lectularius (bed bug). RNAcentral describes it as "uncharacterized LOC106668313, transcript variant X2". The record is from RNAcentral. Lineage: Eukaryota; Metazoa; Arthropoda; Insecta; Hemiptera; Cimicidae.